Molecule: ribosomal RNA, 253 nt
Filed under: uncultured bacterium
Lineage: Bacteria
Description: partial 16S ribosomal RNA
Rfam family: Bacterial small subunit ribosomal RNA
Source: RNAcentral
UACGUAGGGUGCAAGCGUUAAUCGGAAUUACUGGGCGUAAAGCGUGCGCAGGCGGUUGUGCAAGACAGAUGUGAAAUCCCCGGGCUCAACCUGGGAACUGCAUUUGUGACUGCACGGCUGGAGUGCGGCAGAGGGGGAUGGAAUUCCGCGUGUAGCAGUGAAAUGCGUAGAUAUGCGGAGGAACACCGAUGGCGAAGGCAAUCCCCUGGGCCUGCACUGACGCUCAUGCACGAAAGCGUGGGGAGCAAACAGA